Molecule: long non-coding RNA, 254 nt
Filed under: Setaria viridis
Lineage: Eukaryota; Viridiplantae; Streptophyta; Magnoliopsida; Poales; Poaceae
Description: long non-coding RNA (SVIR_LNC003802)
Source: RNAcentral
GAGGAUAUAUUAAGAAAUAGAAGGAAUAUAUUAUUUCUUCCUGGGAUAAUACAUUUUCUCCUAAAAAUUUGCAAAGGGAGGAGCCAGUUGAGUUUUGUACGUUUUAGGUAUGCCCAGGACACGGUGCCAGGUCCUUGAACCAUUUUUCAUCACUAGCAUCAUAACAAGGCACAAAGCUAGAAUUGUGGACAGUGCUUUAUUUAUCCCCCUUUUCUCUCUCUUUUGUGUAAUAAUAGUAGUAAGGUGUACUCCUC